UACGUAGGGGGCAAGCGUUAUCCGGAAUUACUGGGUGUAAAGGGAGCGUAGACGGUAAUGUAAGUCUGGAGUGAAAGGCGGGGGCCCAACCCCCGGACUGCUCUGGAAACUAUGUUACUGGAGUGCAGGAGAGGUAAGCGGAAUUCCUAGUGUAGCGGUGAAAUGCGUAGAUAUCAGGAGGAACAUCGGUGGCGAAAGCGCUUUACUGGACCAUUAUUGACGCUGAGGAACGAAAGCCAGGGGAGCAAAUGGG
RNAcentral lists this ribosomal RNA (253 nucleotides) under uncultured Eubacteriales bacterium. Its description in RNAcentral is "uncultured Clostridiales bacterium partial 16S ribosomal RNA". It matches the Rfam family "Bacterial small subunit ribosomal RNA", at positions 524 to 776 of the family's 1533-position model. The record is from RNAcentral. Lineage: Bacteria; Bacillati; Bacillota; Clostridia; Eubacteriales.